GACGAACGCUGGCGGCGUGCCUAAUACAUGCAAGUAGAACGCUGAAGGAGGAGCUUGCUUCUCCGGAUGAGUUGCGAACGGGUGAGUAACGCGUAGGUAACCUGCCUGGUAGCGGGGGAUAACUAUUGGAAACGAUAGCUAAUACCGCAUAAGAGUAGAUGUUGCAUGACAUUUGCUUAAAAGGUGCAAUUGCAUCACUACCAGAUGGACCUGCGUUGUAUUAGCUAGUUGGUGGGGUAACGGCUCACCAAGGCGACGAUACAUAGCCGACCUGAGAGGGUGAUCGGCCACACUGGGACUGAGACACGGCCCAGACUCCUACGGGAGGCAGCAGUAGGGAAUCUUCGGCAAUGGACGGAAGUCUGACCGAGCAACGCCGCGUGAGUGAAGAAGGUUUUCGGAUCGUAAAGCUCUGUUGUAAGAGAGGAACGAGUGUGAGAGUGGAAAGUUCACACUGUGACGGUAUCUUACCAGAAAGGGACGGCUAACUACGUGCCGGCAGCCGCGGUAAUACGUAGGUCCCGAGCGUUGUCCGGAUUUAUUGGGCGUAAAGCGAGCGCAGGCGGUUAGAUAAGUCUGAAGUUAAAGGCUGUGGCUUAACCAUAGUACGCUUUGGAAACUGUUUAACUUGAGUGCAAGAGGGGAGAGUGGAAUUCCAUGUGUAGCGGUGAAAUGCGUAGAUAUAUGGAGGAACACCGGUGGCGAAAGCGGCUCUCUGGCUUGUAACUGACGCUGAGGCUCGAAAGCGUGGGGAGCAAACAGG
This 763-nucleotide ribosomal RNA is filed under the name uncultured Streptococcus sp. RNAcentral's name for it is "bacterial SSU rRNA". It matches the Rfam family "Bacterial small subunit ribosomal RNA", at positions 28 to 776 of the family's 1533-position model. The record is from RNAcentral. Lineage: Bacteria; Bacillati; Bacillota; Bacilli; Lactobacillales; Streptococcaceae.